GUUUUAUGUAAUUUAUUAUACCCUUGUAGGUUGAGAAGUGCUUGAUACCUCUAUCUACUUUAGAAUUAUACUCAGAAGUUGUUAGCUUUCUUCCUUUGUGUCCUUGGAGUAAUGUUACCAAGAAAAGGAUUUUUGAAUUUUCUUACUGUGGAUGUUUUAUUGAAGCUAUGGGAUUUCAAACAUAAUUUCUUGAGCCAAGAAUAACACUCAUCUAGUCAGCAGUAUUUGAAGGUGCUUUGGUUUUUGUUUAACAUAAUUCAAAACUUUCGGCGAACUAAAGUAGUCCUCAGGUCUGAGGGAAAAAAUUGAUUUUCAUAGAUUAAUUUCACUAUCUUAUUUAUAGAUCUUGUUUCAAUUUUUUUUUUUUCCAGAGGGACUCCAAUGUAAGACUUGUGGUAAACCCCCAGAGGGUCAUUUUUUCUAUUAUGCACAUCAUAACAAGCAACUAACUAUUAAAGCUAGACAUCUUCCUGUUGACAAAGGCCUGGUGAAAUUGAAGUAAAGCUUUGGAUGUAGAUUUGCUGUGGUCAAUGUAGUCAUAGAUGUCCUAUGUUGUUCUAUUGAUAAUAAAUGAUUUUGAUUUCAAGGAUUUGGUUGUAAUAUAUCGACUUACAUAACAUCACAUAUCUAUUCACUCCUUGUCAUAUGUGAUGAGUGAUUUACACUCAUUAUAUUAUGUCAUUAAUUUCAUGAUUUUGCUAUCUUGGAGAGUAUUUUAGAAGUGCUAACAAGUGAUUUUGGUGUUAUUUUGUAGAUUGAUGGAAGUGGAGAAUACAAGAGCUAAAAGAGGUCAAAGGAAGGAAAUAGGCAAAAGCUAGCGAAAUUAGAUGAAAUGACCAAAACGUAAGAGAUCCAAAGUUCGAGGAUUAAAAUGCAAUUAAUCAAAAGUCGUGUCGAAACUUGAAAUGAAGAUCCGAGAGUUCUAGAAGCCAAUUGGAUGAAGGAAGGUGCCAAAGGGAUCAAAUUUAGUCAAAAUAUGAUCAUAAAUCAUUUUCCAACCAAAAAGUUUUGCGCCGGAGUUUUGAUCUCACAUUUAGACUCAUUUUGACAUAGAAAACGAUCGAAUUGGAGAAUGAUUCCUGAUGCAAAAUUGUAUUCCAUUGAAUUAUCUUUCCAACGCAUCUUGAAUCACUUUAAUCGGAUAUCGAACGAAAAAGUUAUGACAAAAAUACUAAAAGCUAUCCAAUGCAACCGAAGUAAUCCUCAGUGUUCAGGCGCCAUGAUGCUGAAAUUUUGACAGAAAGUCAGCGCCUAGACGCCCAAUCGUAGCGCCCAGACGCCGCCGUGCGAGAGUAAUUUUUUUAGGUUUUUGCCAUUCUUUUUCGACCCAACUCAUCUCCAAAUCAUUCCCUAGACUCCAAGACAUUAUAAACACAGAAUUGAAGACCUAAAUUAGAGGGGAGCCGCACACUAAAAAUCUGUGGAAUCAAGCUAUGCGUUCUUGACAUAUUGGAGAGAAGACAACAAGAAGGGAGAUUGAAAAGAAAAAUUCAAGAAGAUUAACACCAAGCAAUUGAAGAUUAAAAGCAUUCAUUGGAAAGGAAAGGAGAUCUUGGUACAAGAAUUCUACUUUUUCUUCUACAUCUUUAUUACAAAUCCGGUGAUGUAUUCUGAGACAAUUUCCUAUUUUUCUUCCAUUAUUAUGAGUAGUUAAAUUUGAUUUUAGGGCGAACAAUGUAAUCUUUUGGAAUCAUUUAUUUCAUGCAAUUGAGAUUCUAGUGCUUUUAUAUUUUAUGUGUUGAUUUUAAUGUUGUUUUUAAUACAUUUAAUUACUUGAUCACUAAUUAGAUGAUUUGUGAAUAAUGAUUGCGUAGAGAUGCGGAUUAUUUGUUUAGACCAAAUGUUAAAAUUCGGUAAAUUGAUAUAACGUGUAGAGAUACCUAUAUUGAUUGCUGCGGUCGUGUGUGAAUUCUUAGAACCAAUGUUUCGUUUAAUUAAAUUUAUUUUGCAUAGAGAUAUGGAAUUAAACUAAUUAAAUAGGUUCAAUGAGAACUCGAGAGGGGUAAGUUGAAUACAAUAGAAGAAUUCGAUCGAACACUGCCUUAGGUUUUAUGAAUCUUGAUUUAUAAAGUAAAGGUGACCAAUAGGUGAAAUUGUUCCGCCCUAACAUCCAUUUAUUGUUUGAAUUCUCAAUCCCUUUUCGUUGCAUCCAAUCGCAUUUUUAAGUCUUUAGAAUAAAAAUCACAUUUAAUUAUUUUUUUUUUUAUUUUCGUCAAAUAGCAGUUAGAAAUAAUAAAUUGGGCAUUAAAAGUACAGUCCUCGUGGGAACGAUAAUCCGGACUCAAAAGUUCCACUUUACUACUUGUUACGAUCUAUUCACUUGCGGGAUAAAAUCGACAACAAUAUGCAAACUAUUAUAUUUCAAAUUUGGUCGAUGCCCCUGCAGUUAUGUCACAACCUAUAUGCCAUUACAAUGGUCAUAGAACAAAUUGCAUUGUGUGGAUACUGUUUAGCUUUCAAACUUCUCGAGAACUACUGAUAAAGGUAAUGAAACUGGAGUUUUUAACUAGAAAACAUCAGUUUCUUCUGUCAUAUGCAGUGAAGGCAUGAACUAGAUAAGAAGAGUGGGAGUGGGGUGGAAAGUGGGUUGGAUUGGAAUGGGGUGGGAAGGGAAGGAAGCGGAGUGUUUGUGACAAAUUAUUUGGUUGAUUGUGACAUCGAUAAAAUAUAUUAUUUGUAACCAAUAAAUAAUAUGUGACCUAAAAAAUAUGAAAAUUUGAUUAAAUUUGCAAUCGUGAUUUACUAUUUGUAAAGUUGUGACCAAAUAAUUUAAUAAUUUGUGACGAAGAAAUAACUUUAACUAAUUAGUUUGAUAAUUUGUUACUAUGAAAUAAGUUAUAAUCUAUAAAAUCUGUAAUUUGUGCUAAAAAAAAACAAACAAAGUUCAAAGCAACUAUUUCAAUAAAUUAUGAUCGAGAAAUAACUUGUGACCAAUUAGCUUGUAACAUAAAAAAUAUGUGAUUGUGACUUAAUUCAUAAUUGCGACCUCCAAUUUGUGUCUUUGUAACCAAUUAAUAUGUCACAUUCAACACAUUAUUGGUCACAAUCAAUCACAUUUAGCACAAACUUGAUCACAGAAGGUCAUAAUUAACAUAUAAACAAUCACAAACUUUUUAAUGUAAGUAGAUUUUAUCACAAAAAUUCACUAUCAACAGAUGUGAUUACAAGUCACUAUUAACAUAGAUUUGGUCAAAGACGGUCACAACUAAGACAGACCUAGUUACAGAGAAUCACAAUAAAAAUAUACUUGAUCAUAGUGGUCACAGUUAAAACAGGUCUGGUCACAAAUAAUAAUAGUUUACACAAAUAUGGUCACAAACAAUAAAAGGUUAUAUAGAUCAAUCACAAAUAGACACUAUUAAAUACAAUCUGGUUACGUACAGUAACAAAACACGGCCAAUACAUCACAAUCAAUAUGCAUAAAUUGGCAAUACUUCGUCAAGCAAAUUACAUUCCCUCGAUAACAAGCUGUAACUCUUUUUCCAAUUAAUUUCUCCCUCUAAAUGAAACACAUAUUCCCAAAAUGUAUGUCCCGAGUAUAAAACAAAGAAAAGUGUAAAGAAAUCAGCCCAUAGAAAGAAAAAAAAAAUUUACAACUCAAUCCACAUGAAUGUUUUGCACCAGAUCUUAGAACAGGAAGAAAACUUCUCAUACAAUUUCAAAUUCAAGAAGUGGACGCAUCAGCAUUACCUAUGAUCCAAUCUCAGUCAAUAAUUCUCCACUCUAAUAACCCUUUUAUCCCCUCAAAUCUUCACUUGUGAUUAUGGCCCAUUCCCCACCACAUAGUACCCCUCCAACCGCAACAAUCGAAUACAAAAUUCAUAAUCUUUUUCAGUUUUUAACCCAACANGCCUUGAAAAUCCUUGGUCGGGGAUGAAGUUGGCCGCCGGCGACUGCGAGAGUAUAGUGCGAGAGUGGAGAGACGGAGAGAGACGCGAUAAGUCCCAGCGAAUUCAUUGUUUUGUUUAACCGGUUCCGGGCCAGUUUGGGUGGGCUGUGCAGUUGGGAGCAUCAUUGGGCCUAUUGGAGCCCAAAUUCAGUUAUACUAAUAAACGGCAACGUUCAUCAAACGUUGUCAAAACUAGUCAACGGCAACAUUCAAUAAACGUUACUAAAACAUAUACAGCAACAUGCAUCGCCCGUUGCAAAAACUAUUUAACAACAACAUUUAUCGAACGUUGCUAAAACUAAUUAAUCGCAACGUUCGAACGGUCGUUGCUAAAACAAGUAACGGCAACGUGUAUUGCCCGUUGCCAAAACCAAUCAAUGGCAACGUUCAGUAAACGUUGCCAAAACAUCUACAGCAACGGUCAAUGCACGUUGCCAAAAAAAAACAUAAACAACGGUCUUUGAACGUUGCGAAAGGGGGUAUUAGCAACAACCAUUCAAAGAACGUUGUUAAAUCUUACUUUUCUCAACCAAUGGCAACAUACAUUUGCUGAAUGUUGCAAUAAAUCACUUUUAGCAACAUACAAUUGGUGAAUGUUGCCAUUGAAUCAUUUUUCUUGUAGUGGUUAUCCAAAAGUUGGAGAUAUUUGGAAUUGGAAAAAGUUGCAACUCAAGAGCUGGUGAUUCUCAUAAUACAUGGCUGGCUGACGAAACUACUCCCUAAUGUAGAGAAUAACAUAGUCAAAUUUAUCAACUUCGUUGAUGUAGAGCUAUUAAAAGUUAGGAAUGUCAUCUUUGGCCAAAAUGAGAAAGGGUGAUCAUAUCACGAAAAUGUGAAAUUGUAACUCACGUACUUUGAAACCAUCAAAAUGUUUACGAGGAAUGACAAUCAGAGUCUCACCUAAAACUAAAGAAGAAAUCCAUGGCAAAUAUUGAUUCGAUUCAUGUUUUAGUUCCAUUCUUUCUAAACAUACCCAACAUGUUCAAUGUUAACACUUUUGUAAAAUAUGACGACACAUGCUAAAAUCUUACAACUUCAAAUGUACAAGUAAUUAACUAGACAAGAAGCAUUUACAUAAAGGGAAAAAAAUUAAAUUAAACUGUAAAUGUAGCAAGCAGGACAUAUUGCUUCCAAUUUCAACCAGGAGGAUAAAUAAAAAGAGUCUAACCCAAGGGAUGCUUUUCAUUUUACAAAAACUAUAUGGAAAUUUUCAUUCUAAGAAAAAAGGUGUAAUGCUUAAAUAAUCCUGAACAGGACAUCUUGGAUAAGUUGUUUCUCUUUAGUCCUUAACCAUUUUAUGUAAUAUAUCAUUCUAUGAUACUUUGUGGUCACCAAAUCACUCUAAUUUACAAGUUUUGAACGUUUUCUUCACUAGUUGAUCUUAUGAUUACUAAUGUAAAUGGAGAUAUCAAAUAAGUUUAUGAUAGAAUCAAAACAGAAUAUCCACAAAGAAUAACUGAGUUUACAGCUGGGGCAAAUUAUCAAACACCUUGAACCCAUUAAAUUGCACGAUAAUAGAAAGACAAAUGAAUUAAGGGAAAAAAAAUACAAAACUAAUGAUGGUAAAUAAUAAUUCACACGAACUAUUCUAUUAUACAUAGCUAGUGAGUUAUCAUUGUUUCUAACAACUCAAAUAGUGUAGUGUGGCUUCAUCUUGAAUUCUAUAUGCAAAAGAAAUUUAAGCUCACAACAGCAUGUUAUCUUGGAGUUCAUCAAAUCCACGCAAUGUAUCCUCUUCAUGGUUGUAUUUUGAAAUUUCCAUGAUUGUCAAUUAAUCAAAUGAUUAGGAAUUAUAAUUAACGGCCGCUUAGUGUUAGCUCUCAGUUACAAAGAAUGAGAGGAAUUUAUAGAACUAGUAGUUUUGAUUUACUUUUGCUUUUUAUCAAGUAUUUAUAAAUUAUAACAUAAUGAUGAGUAUUUAUUGAAAUAUUUUUAUUUACUUUGUUAUUUAUGAUUUUUCCCCUAAUUUUUUUGAGGUUCUUUAGAUCUUCAGGUUCUAGGCGAUGGCCUACUUCACCUUGGACUAGGGCAGGCCUAUUGUGUUUCUAGUACGUUCAAUGGGUAUUAAUUUUUUGGAAAAAUUACAUAAAACCUUACAUUUUAAUUAUAUUAUUUAAAACUAAAGAAAAUUAAUUCUAAUUUAAAAAAUCGGGAGAUAAUUAAAAAUUAUUAAAUUAAUCAAUACAAAAUUAAUAUGAAAAAUAUCUAAUCAAAUCUUUUCACCCACCCUACCUCCUUCCAUUCCAACAAAUUUCCCAAUCCCUAAUCAUUUUAACAUAUCCCUUCUCUCUGUAUAUUUCUCCAUUCUCUUCUCUCUCUUAACCACACACUACCAUCGAAGCGCCAUCAUCACUGGGCUCAAGACGCCUUCGGCCGGUCAAUGUCUUCGAUCUGCGAUCACUGAAGGAAAAAGGAAAGAAGCGCCAACAUGCGAUGUGUAGUCUUCGAUUUGCAGGAAAAAGGCGCCUCGGGUAGUGUUGCACGCAAAUGUGAAAAAAAAAAUGUGUACUACGUAUACAUUUUACCCUAUAUAUUUUCAAUAAUUUUAUUUGUUAAUUGUCAGUUUCUAAGUUGUGAUGUGAUAUUUGAAUUCAAAAUGCUCAAAAGGGAUAAAAUAUUACCAAAAAUCUAAAUUCAUGUUCUUAAGUUGUGGAUAUAAAGUUGUCUUUACCUUUUAAACUUGAAACUUUCAAUCAAUCCUAAUUAGUAUUUAAAAGCUCGAUUUUAUAGCUAGCUAAAAUAAAUUCCAACAACGAACAAAAUUUCUUUUCGAGUUUUAUGUAAUUUAUUAUACCCUUGUAGGUUGAGAAGUGCUUGAUACCUCUAUCUACUUUAGAAUUAUACUCAGAAGUUGUUAGCUUUCUUCCUUUGUGUCCUUGGAAUAAUGUUACCAAGAAAAGGAUUUUUGAAUUUUCUUGCUGUGGAUGUUUUAUUGAAGCUAUGGGAUUUCAAACAUAAUUUCUUGAGCCAAGAAUAACACUCAUCUAGUCAGCAGCAUUUGAAGGUACUUUGGUUUUUGUUUAACAUAAUUCAAAACUUUCAGCUAACUAAAGUAGUCCUCAGGUCUGAGGGAAAAUAAUUGAUUUUCAUAGAUUAAUUUCACUAUCUUAUUUAUAGAUCUUGUUUCAAUUUUAUUUUUCUUUCAGAGGGACUCCAAUGUAAGACUUGUGGUAAACCCCCAGAGGGUCAUUUUUUCUAUUAUGCACAUCAUAACAAGCAACUAACUAUUAAAGCUAGACAUCUUCCUAUUGACAAAGGCCUGGUGAAAUUGAAGUAAAGCUUUGGAUGUAGAUUUGCUGUGGUCAAUGUAGUCAUAGAUGUCCUAUGUUGUUCUAUUGAUAAUAAAUGAUUUUGAUUUCAAGGAUUUGGUUGUAAUGUAUCGACUUACAUAACAUCACAUAUCUAUUCACUC
This 7301-nucleotide long non-coding RNA is filed under the name Olea europaea subsp. europaea. Lineage: Eukaryota; Viridiplantae; Streptophyta; Magnoliopsida; Lamiales; Oleaceae. The record is from RNAcentral.